Doryrhamphus excisus (bluestripe pipefish) is the source of this 91-nucleotide small nucleolar RNA. RefSeq annotates it as small nucleolar SNORD12/SNORD106. Lineage: Eukaryota; Metazoa; Chordata; Actinopteri; Syngnathiformes; Syngnathidae. The record is from RefSeq and is a predicted model, not a curated record.
GAUGUGGUUAAGGAUGCACAUUUUUUUCCCCGUCUUAUCGACUAUGGUGAUAACCAACUAAAAAUAAGCCAAUUAUGUCUGAAACCACAUC